RNAcentral lists this ribosomal RNA (3117 nucleotides) under Pseudoclavibacter caeni. RNAcentral describes it as "23S ribosomal RNA". It matches the Rfam family "Bacterial large subunit ribosomal RNA". Lineage: Bacteria; Bacillati; Actinomycetota; Actinomycetes; Micrococcales; Microbacteriaceae. The record is from RNAcentral.
UGUCAAGUUUCGAAGGGCAGACGGUGGAUGCCUUGGCAUCUGGAGCCGAAGAAGGACGUGGCAAUCUGCGAUAAGCCUCGGGGAGCCGGUAAGCGGGCUUUGAUCCGAGGAUCUCCGAAUGGGGGAACCCGGCCGGGCUUUGUCCCGGUCACUCCGGUCUGAAUUGAUAGGGCUUGGAGGGGGAACGCGGGGAAGUGAAACAUCUCAGUACCCGCAGGAAGAGAAAACAACAGUGAUUCCGUGAGUAGUGGCGAGCGAAAGCGGAUGUUGGCUAAACCGGUUGUGUGUGAUAGCUGACGGGCGUUGCAUGGCUGGUGUUGUGGGGUCUCCUUCGUCGUUCCGUUAGACGGCGUGGGUUUUGCGUGGUGUAGCCGAACGGUCUUGAAUGGCCGACCGUAGUGGGUGUGAGUCCCGUAGGUGAAACGCCGCGUGCGCCUGUGGAGUGUCCCCGAGUAGCACGGGGCUCGUGGAAUCUCGUGUGAAUCUGCCAGGACCACCUGGUAAGCCUGAAUACUCCCAGAUGACCGAUAGCGGACGAGUACCGUGAGGGAAAGGUGAAAAGCACCCCGGGAGGGGAGUGAAAGAGUACCUGAAACCGUCUGCCUACAAUCCGUCGGAGCCUCCUUGUGGGGUGACGGCGUGCCUUUUGAAGAAUGAGCCUGCGAGUUAGUGAUAUGUGGCGAGGUUAACCCGUGUGGGGGAUCCGUAGCGAAAGCGAGUCUGAACAGGGCGUUCAGUCGCAUGUCCUAGACCCGAAGCGAGGUGAUCUAUCCAUGGCCAGGUUGAAGCGCGGGUAAGACCGCGUGGAGGACCGAACCCACUUAGGUUGAAAACUGAGGGGAUGAGCUGUGGAUAGGGGUGAAAGGCCAAUCAAACCUCGUGAUAGCUGGUUCUCUCCGAAAUGCAUUUAGGUGCAGCGUCAUGUGUUUCUUUCCGGAGGUAGAGCUACUGGAUGGCUGAUGGGCCCCACAGGGUUACUGACGUCAGCCAAACUCCGAAUGCCGGGAAGUGAGAGCAUGGCAGUGAGACAGUGGGGGAUAAGCUUCAUUGUCGAGAGGGCGACAACCCAGACCACCGACUAAGGCCCCUAAGCGUGUGCUCAGUGGGAAACGAUGUGGAGUUGCAGUGACAACCAGGAGGUUGGCUUAGAAGCAGCCACCCUUGAAAGAGUGCGUAAUAGCUCACUGGUCAAGUGAUUCUGCGCGGACAAUGUAACGGGGCUCAAGCACACCGCCGAAGUCGUGGCAUUCGCGUGUAUGACAGGCCUUCGUGGUCCAGUCGCGCGGAUGGGUAGGAGAGCGUCGUGUGGGCGGUGAAGCCGCGGGGUGACCCAGCGGUGGAGACCACACGAGUGAGAAUGCAGGCAUGAGUAGCGAAUGACGGGUGAGAAACCCGUCCUCCGGAAGACCAAGGGUUCCAGGGCCAGGCUAAUCCGCCCUGGGUAAGUCGGGACCUAAGACGAGGCCGACAGGCGUAGUCGAUGGACAACGGGUUGAUAUUCCCGUACCGGUGAAGAACCGUCCAAGCCGACCCAGUGAUGCUAAGAACCCGAAUCCUCAGGCCUGCCCUUCGGGGCGGGAAUGAGGCCUAGCGUUCGACCCUGUCUGGUGAGGCUAGCGUGUUUCAGGUGUGACGCAGGAAGGUAGCCUCCGCGGGGCGAUGGUUGUCCCCGUCCAAGGAUGUAGGCCUGGGAGUUGGCAAAUCCGCUCCCUGCAUGGCUGAGAUCUGAUGGUGAGCACGUCAGUGCGAAGUGGGUGAUCCUAUGCUGCCGAGAAAAGCAUCGACGUGAGGUUCCAUCCGCCCGUACCCCAAACCGACUCAGGUGGUCAGGUAGAGAAUACCGAGGAGAUCGAGAGAAUCGUGGUUAAGGAACUCGGCAAAAUGCCCCCGUAACUUCGGGAGAAGGGGGGCCCGUCCAGGUGAGUGGCCUCGCGCCGCGAGCCAGGGUGGGCCGCAGAGACCAGUGGGAAGCGACUGUUUAUCAAAAACACAGGUCCGUGCGAAGAAGCAAUUCGAUGUAUACGGACUGACGCCUGCCCGGUGCUGGAAGGUUAAGAGGAAGAGUCAGCGGCCUCGUGUCGCGAAGCUCAGAAUUCAAGCCCCAGUAAACGGCGGUGGUAACUAUAACCAUCCUAAGGUAGCGAAAUUCCUUGUCGGGUAAGUUCCGACCUGCACGAAUGGCGUAACGACUUCCCAGCUGUCUCAACCGCGAACUCGGCGAAAUUGCAGUACGAGUAAAGAUGCUCGUUACGCGCAGCAGGACGGAAAGACCCCGUGACCUUUACUAUAGCUUGGUAUUGGUAUUCGGUACAGUCUGUGUAGGAUAGGUGGGAGACGUUGAGACCCGGACGCCAGUUCGGGUGGAGUCGCUGGUGAAAUACCACUCUGACUGUUUUGGAUAUCUAACCUCGGCCCGUGAUCCGGGUCAGGGACAGUGCCUGGUGGGUAGUUUAACUGGGGCGGUUGCCUCCCAAAGAGUAACGGAGGCGCCCAAAGGUUCCCUCAACCUGGUUGGCAAUCAGGUGUCGAGUGUAAGUGCACAAGGGAGCUUGACUGUGAGAGAGACAUCUCGAGCAGGGACGAAAGUCGGGACUAGUGAUCCGGCAGUGGCUUGUGGAAGCGCUGUCGCUCAACGGAUAAAAGGUACCUCGGGGAUAACAGGCUGAUCUUGCCCAAGAGUCCAUAUCGACGGCAUGGUUUGGCACCUCGAUGUCGGCUCGUCGCAUCCUGGGGCUGGAGUUGGUCCCAAGGGUUGGGCUGUUCGCCCAUUAAAGCGGUACGCGAGCUGGGUUCAGAACGUCGUGAGACAGUUCGGUCCCUAUCCGCUGCGCGCGUUGGAAAUCUGAGAGGAUCUGUCUCUAGUACGAGAGGACCGAGAUGGACCAACCUCUGGUGUGCCAGUUGUUCCGCCAGGAGCAUGGCUGGUUGGCUACGUUGGGAAUGGAUAACCGCUGAAAGCAUCUAAGCGGGAAGCCGGCCUCGAGAUGAGAUUUCCCAGCCCUUCGGGGCGAGAGGACCCCAGCAGACCACUGGGUUGAUAGGCCGGACGUGGAAGCCCCGCGAGGGGUGGAGCUGACCGGUACUAAUAGUCCGAGAACUUGACAACACCACACACCC